UUUUAAAAAAGUUUAAUCCAUUUGUAUUGUUAAAAAUUAAGUCAUUAACGAAAUAACCAAACAAUAAUACCUGGCAUGCCAUUUGUACUUCAUAUUGAUGGGCAUGAACCAGUUUUUAAUAGUAGAAAUGAAUAAAAUUUUUAAUA
This 146-nucleotide microRNA precursor is filed under the name Gossypium hirsutum (cotton). RNAcentral's name for it is "MIR7502 microRNA precursor family". It matches the Rfam family "MIR7502 microRNA precursor family". The record is from Rfam by way of RNAcentral. Lineage: Eukaryota; Viridiplantae; Streptophyta; Magnoliopsida; Malvales; Malvaceae.